This 2798-nucleotide ribosomal RNA is filed under the name Klebsiella pneumoniae. RNAcentral describes it as "bacterial LSU rRNA". It matches the Rfam family "Bacterial large subunit ribosomal RNA". The record is from RNAcentral. Lineage: Bacteria; Pseudomonadati; Pseudomonadota; Gammaproteobacteria; Enterobacterales; Enterobacteriaceae.
CCGGCGAUGUCCGAAUGGGGAAACCCAGUGCAAUUCGUUGCACUAUCGUUAACUGAAUACAUAGGUUAACGAGGCGAACCGGGGGAACUGAAACAUCUAAGUACCCCGAGGAAAAGAAAUCAACCGAGAUUCCCCCAGUAGCGGCGAGCGAACGGGGAGCAGCCCAGAGUCUGAAUCAGCUUGUGUGUUAGUGGAACGGUCUGGAAAGUCCGACGGUACAGGGUGAUAGUCCCGUACACCAAAAUGCACAGGCUGUGAACUCGAAGAGUAGGGCGGGACACGUGGUAUCCUGUCUGAAUAUGGGGGGACCAUCCUCCAAGGCUAAAUACUCCUGACUGACCGAUAGUGAACCAGUACCGUGAGGGAAAGGCGAAAAGAACCCCGGCGAGGGGAGUGAAAAAGAACCUGAAACCGUGUACGUACAAGCAGUGGGAGCACCUUCGGGUGUGACUGCGUACCUUUUGUAUAAUGGGUCAGCGACUUAUAUUCUGUAGCAAGGUUAACCGUAUAGGGGAGCCGCAGGGAAACCGAGUCUUAACUGGGCGUUAAGUUGCAGGGUAUAGACCCGAAACCCGGUGAUCUAGCCAUGGGCAGGUUGAAGGUUGGGUAACACUAACUGGAGGACCGAACCGACUAAUGUUGAAAAAUUAGCGGAUGACUUGUGGCUGGGGGUGAAAGGCCAAUCAAACCGGGAGAUAGCUGGUUCUCCCCGAAAGCUAUUUAGGUAGCGCCUCGUGAACUCAUCUUCGGGGGUAGAGCACUGUUUCGGCUAGGGGGUCAUCCCGACUUACCAACCCGAUGCAAACUACGAAUACCGAAGAAUGUUAUCACGGGAGACACACGGCGGGUGCUAACGUCCGUCGUGAAGAGGGAAACAACCCAGACCGCCAGCUAAGGUCCCAAAGUCAUGGUUAAGUGGGAAACGAUGUGGGAAGGCACAGACAGCCAGGAUGUUGGCUUAGAAGCAGCCAUCAUUUAAAGAAAGCGUAAUAGCUCACUGGUCGAGUCGGCCUGCGCGGAAGAUGUAACGGGGCUAAACCAUGCACCGAAGCUGCGGCAGCGACACUAUGUGUUGUUGGGUAGGGGAGCGUUCUGUAAGCCUGCGAAGGUGACCUGUGAGGGUUGCUGGAGGUAUCAGAAGUGCGAAUGCUGACAUAAGUAACGAUAAAGCGGGUGAAAAGCCCGCUCGCCGGAAGACCAAGGGUUCCUGUCCAACGUUAAUCGGGGCAGGGUGAGUCGACCCCUAAGGCGAGGCCGAAAGGCGUAGUCGAUGGGAAACAGGUUAAUAUUCCUGUACUUGGUGUUACUGCGAAGGGGGGACGGAGAAGGCUAUGUUAGCCGGGCGACGGUUGUCCCGGUUUAAGCAUGUAGGCUGGUUGUCCAGGCAAAUCCGGAUAAUCAAGGCUGAGGUGUGAUGACGAGGCACUACGGUGCUGAAGUAACAAAUGCCCUGCUUCCAGGAAAAGCCUCUAAGCAUCAGGUAACAUCAAAUCGUACCCCAAACCGACACAGGUGGUCAGGUAGAGAAUACCAAGGCGCUUGAGAGAACUCGGGUGAAGGAACUAGGCAAAAUGGUGCCGUAACUUCGGGAGAAGGCACGCUGGUGUGUAGGUGAAGCCCCUGCGGGUGGAGCUGAGACCAGUCGAAGAUACCAGCUGGCUGCAACUGUUUAUUAAAAACACAGCACUGUGCAAACACGAAAGUGGACGUAUACGGUGUGACGCCUGCCCGGUGCCGGAAGGUUAAUUGAUGGGGUUAUCCGUAAGGAGAAGCUCUUGAUCGAAGCCCCGGUAAACGGCGGCCGUAACUAUAACGGUCCUAAGGUAGCGAAAUUCCUUGUCGGGUAAGUUCCGACCUGCACGAAUGGCGUAAUGAUGGCCAGGCUGUCUCCACCCGAGACUCAGUGAAAUUGAACUCGCUGUGAAGAUGCAGUGUACCCGCGGCAAGACGGAAAGACCCCGUGAACCUUUACUAUAGCUUGACACUGAACAUUGAGCCUUGAUGUGUAGGAUAGGUGGGAGGCUUUGAAGCGUGGACGCCAGUCUGCGUGGAGCCAACCUUGAAAUACCACCCUUUAAUGUUUGAUGUUCUAACGUUGGCCCCUUACCGGGGUUGCGGACAGUGUCUGGUGGGUAGUUUGACUGGGGCGGUCUCCUCCCAAAGCGUAACGGAGGAGCACGAAGGUUAGCUAAUCCUGGUCGGACAUCAGGAGGUUAGUGCAAUGGCAUAAGCUAGCUUGACUGCGAGCGUGACGGCGCGAGCAGGUGCGAAAGCAGGUCAUAGUGAUCCGGUGGUUCUGAAUGGAAGGGCCAUCGCUCAACGGAUAAAAGGUACUCCGGGGAUAACAGGCUGAUACCGCCCAAGAGUUCAUAUCGACGGCGGUGUUUGGCACCUCGAUGUCGGCUCAUCACAUCCUGGGGCUGAAGUAGGUCCCAAGGGUAUGGCUGUUCGCCAUUUAAAGUGGUACGCGAGCUGGGUUUAGAACGUCGUGAGACAGUUCGGUCCCUAUCUGCCGUGGGCGCUGGAGAAUUGAGGGGGGCUGCUCCUAGUACGAGAGGACCGGAGUGGACGCAUCACUGGUGUUCGGGUUGUCAUGCCAAUGGCACUGCCCGGUAGCUAAAUGCGGAAGAGAUAAGUGCUGAAAGCAUCUAAGCACGAAACUUGCCCCGAGAUGAGUUCUCCCUGAGACUAUAAGUCUCCUGAAGGAACGUUAAAGACGAUGACGUUGAUAGGCCGGGUGUGUAAGCGCAGCGAUGCGUUGAGCUAACCGGUACUAAUGAACCGUGAGGCUUAACCUU